RNAcentral lists this ribosomal RNA (344 nucleotides) under uncultured bacterium. RNAcentral's name for it is "bacterial SSU rRNA". It matches the Rfam family "Bacterial small subunit ribosomal RNA", at positions 28 to 369 of the family's 1533-position model. The record is from RNAcentral.
GAUGAACGCUAGCGGCAGGCUUAAUACAUGCAAGUCGUGGGGCAGCAUGAGUAGCAAUACUUGAUGGCGACCGGCAAACGGGUGAGGAACACGUACACAACCUUCCUUCAAGCGGGGAAUAGCCCAGAGAAAUUUGGAUUAAUACCCCAUAAUAUAUUUGAUAAGGCAUCUUAUUAAUAUUAAAGCUUCGGCACUUGAUGAUGGGUGUGCGGCUGAUUAGAUAGUUGGCGGGUAACGGCCCACCAAGUCUACGAUCAGUAGCUGAUGUGAGAGCAUGAUCAGCCACACGGGCACUGAGACACGGGCCCGACUCCUACGGGAGGCAGCAGUAAGGAAUAUUGGAC